Molecule: long non-coding RNA, 209 nt
Filed under: Olea europaea (common olive)
Lineage: Eukaryota; Viridiplantae; Streptophyta; Magnoliopsida; Lamiales; Oleaceae
Description: long non-coding RNA (OEUR_LNC006844)
Source: RNAcentral
UAAUGUUUGUGGCUUCGAUUUAUGCUAUUUGGCGUGAACGUAAUGCUAGGACCCAUGGGGAGGCUCCUAAAAAUGAGUCUAUUGUUAUUCAAGAUAUUGUUUUUACUAUUUGUGCACGAGUGAACUUGUACAGUAGCUUGGUUCCAUCUAAUGAAAAUAGAUGGCUCCAACGCUCUUGGGGAUUUUCUACAGAUAUUUUUUGUUCUCGU